This 410-nucleotide ribosomal RNA is filed under the name uncultured microorganism. Its description in RNAcentral is "bacterial SSU rRNA". It matches the Rfam family "Bacterial small subunit ribosomal RNA", at positions 509 to 917 of the family's 1533-position model. The record is from RNAcentral.
CAGCCGCCGCGGUAAUACGUAGGUGGCAAGCGUUGUCCGGAAUUAUUGGGCGUAAAGCGCGCGCAGGCGGUCCUUUAAGUCUGAUGUGAAAUCUUGCGGCUCAACCGCAAGCGGCCAUUGGAAACUGGGGGACUUGAGUGCAGGAGAGGGAAGUGGAAUUCCACGUGUAGCGGUGAAAUGCGUAGAGAUGUGGAGGAACACCAGUGGCGAAGGCGGCUUCCUGGCCUGUAACUGACGCUGAGGCGCGAAAGCGUGGGGAGCAAACAGGAUUAGAUACCCUGGUAGUCCACGCCGUAAACGAUGAGUGCUAAGUGUUAGGGGGUUUCAGCCCCUUAGUGCUGCAGCUAACGCAUUAAGCACUCCGCCUGGGGAGUACGGCCGCAAGGCUGAAACUUAAAGGAAUUGGCGGG